This 442-nucleotide long non-coding RNA is filed under the name Androctonus crassicauda. Lineage: Eukaryota; Metazoa; Arthropoda; Arachnida; Scorpiones; Buthidae. The record is from RNAcentral.
UGUUUCUAUAUCUGAAAUAAAAUUUUUUUUAAAUUUCCUUCAAUGGUUUUAAUUUUGGACUGAGGAGGAUAUAUAGGACAAGGCACAUAACCUAAUAAGCUCAUAAAGACACGUAUAUGUGAUGAAAUUAGGAAAAAAUGUUGUAUCCCUGCAUUAUAGCUUUAUCUGCUAUGAUCAGAAUAUUUUUUUUGCUGGGGACUCUUUACAUAAGUAUGUAAGUCUUUACAUAAGUCAGGGACUGCCUGUAUAUAUAUUUUCAAUAGAAUUUUCAGUAGUUUUCAAUAACAUUCUCAGAAUCGUGUCCUUAAUAAAACUAAUAUUAAAAAUAAAAAAGUGCAUAAUUUGUUAAUAACUUUAAAUAAAUUAUUAUAGUUUCACAUAGUAAAAAAAUACUAUGUGAAACUAAUACUUCUCAAAUUAUAUAAUACUUCUCAAAUUAUAU